AUUGAACGCUGGCGGCAGGCCUAACACAUGCAAGUCGAGCGGAUGAAGGGGGCUUGCUCCUGGAUUCAGCGGCGGACGGGUGAGUAAUGCCUAGGAAUCUGCCUGGUGGUGGGGGAUAACGUCCGGAAACGGGCGCUAAUACCGCAUACGUCCUGAGGGAGAAAGUGGGGGAUCUUCGGACCUCACGCUAUCAGAUGAGCCUAGGUCGGAUUAGCUAGUUGGUGGGGUAAAGGCCUACCAAGGCGACGAUCCGUAACUGGUCUGAGAGGAUGAUCAGUCACACUGGAACUGAGACACGGUCCAGACUCCUACGGGAGGCAGCAGUGGGGAAUAUUGGACAAUGGGCGAAAGCCUGAUCCAGCCAUGCCGCGUGUGUGAAGAAGGUCUUCGGAUUGUAAAGCACUUUAAGUUGGGAGGAAGGGCAGUAAGUUAAUACCUUGCUGUUUUGACGUUACCAACAGAAUAAGCACCGGCUAACUUCGUG
RNAcentral lists this ribosomal RNA (484 nucleotides) under uncultured bacterium. RNAcentral's name for it is "partial 16S ribosomal RNA". It matches the Rfam family "Bacterial small subunit ribosomal RNA", at positions 30 to 507 of the family's 1533-position model. The record is from RNAcentral.